GCUCAGGACGAACGCUGGCGGCGUGCUUAACACAUGCAAGUCAAGGGGGCCCAGCAAUGGGCAACCGGCGAACCGGGUGCGUAACACGUGAGCAACCUGCCGAUCUGCGGGGGAUAGCCGGCCCAACGGCCGGGUAAUACCGCAUACGCUCAGUCUGAGGCAUUUCAGACUGAGGAAACUUUUAUUGGGCGGAUCGAGGGGCUCGCGGCCUAUCAGCUAGUUGGUGGGGUAACGGCUCACCAAGGCGACGGCGGGUAGCUGGUCUGAGAGGAUGGCCAGCCACAUUGGGACUGAGAAACGGCCCAGACUCCUACGGGAGGCAGCAGUGGGGAAUAUUGCGCAAUGGCCUAACGGCUGACGCAGCGACGUCCGCGUGUGGGAUGACGCCCUUCGGGGUGUAAACCACUGUUGCCCGGGACGAACCUCUGGCUUACCAGACUGACGGACCG
Molecule: ribosomal RNA, 449 nt
Filed under: uncultured bacterium
Lineage: Bacteria
Description: bacterial SSU rRNA
Rfam family: Bacterial small subunit ribosomal RNA
Source: RNAcentral